Molecule: ribosomal RNA, 471 nt
Filed under: uncultured bacterium
Lineage: Bacteria
Description: bacterial SSU rRNA
Rfam family: Bacterial small subunit ribosomal RNA
Source: RNAcentral
CUGUGACUCCUACGGGAGGCAGCAGUGGGGAAUAUUGCACAAUGGGGGAAACCCUGAUGCAGCCAUGCCGCGUGUGUGAAGAAGGCCUUCGGGUUGUAAAGCACUUUCAGUAGGGAGGAAGGUAGUGUAGUUAACACCUGCACUAUUUGACGUUACCUACAGAAGAAGCACCGGCUAACUCCGUGCCAGCAGCCGCGGUAAUACGGAGGGUGCGAGCGUUAAUCGGAAUUACUGGGCGUAAAGCGCAUGCAGGCGGCCUGUUAAGUCAGAUGUGAAAGCCCCGGGGCUUAACCUCGGAAUUGCAUUUGAAACUGGCAGGCUAGAGUCUUGUAGAGGGGGUAGAAUUUCAGGUGUAGCGGUGAAAUGCGUAGAGAUCUGAAGGAAUACCAGUGGCGAAGGCGGCCCCCUGGACAAAGACUGACGCUCAGAUGCGAAAGCGUGGGGAGCAAACAGGAUUAGAUACCCUGGUAA